GUGAAUCAUCAAAUUUUUGAACGCAAAUUGCACCCUCUGCUAUUCGGGAGAGUAUGCGUGGUUGAGGGUCAGUAUAAUCAAAAUCGGAGCGAUGCUUUUUGGGUGACGCACCGGAGUUUGGGUUAUCUUAACUCUUUUUUUUUAGAGACCUCAUAUUAACAUUCUUUUUUGCUCACUUUUGAGUCGUACGUAAUUUUUUUUUAUUCGUCUACCCUGUGUGCAAAAAUUUUAUUAGAUCGGGAAUCACGUAGAGUGGACCCGCGUCUAUAAUCAUCAUC
Molecule: unclassified non-coding RNA, 278 nt
Filed under: Rhizophagus clarus
Lineage: Eukaryota; Fungi; Glomeromycota; Glomeromycetes; Glomerales; Glomeraceae
Description: partial internal transcribed spacer 2
Rfam family: 5.8S ribosomal RNA (bases 1-71)
Source: RNAcentral